ACUGCGAGUGAAGCGGGAAAAGCUCAAAUUUGAAAUCUGGCAGUCUUUUUUUUCUUCUUUGGCUGUCCGAGUUGUAAUCUAGAGAAGUGCUUACCUGCGCUGGACCAUGUAUAAGUCUCCUGGAAUGGAGCCUCACAGAGGGUGAGAAUCCCGUCUUUGACAUGGACCGCCAGUGCGUUGUGGUGCGCUCUCAAAGAGUCGAGUUGUUUGGGAAUGCAGCUCUAAACGGGUGGUAAACUCCAUCUAAAGCUAAAUAUUGGCGAGAGACCGAUAGCGAACAAGUACCGUGAGGGAAAGAUGAAAAGGACUUUGGAAAGAGAGUUAAACAGUAUGUGAAAUUGUUGAAAGGGAAACGCUUGAAGUCAGUUAUGUCGGCUGGGGAUCAACCUAGCCAUUUUUUUGGCUGGGUGAAUUUCCUAGUCUGACAGGCCAACAUCAGUCUUGACUGCCGGAAAAGAGCGGAGGGAAUGUGGCACCUUUGGGUGUGUUAUAGCCCUCUGUCAUAUGCGGCAGUCGGGACUGAGGGAUGCAGCGUGCCGCGAGGCUGGGUUUUGACCACGUUCACGCUUAGGAUGUUGGCUUUUAAUGGCUCCAAUCGACCCGUCUUGAAACACGGACCAAGGAGUCUAACAUGCCUGCGAGUGUUUGGGUGGAAAACCCUUGUGCACAAUGAAAGUGAAAGUUGAGAUCCCUGUCAUGGGGAGCAUCGACGCCCGGACUUGAGCUUUUAGCAACGGAUCCGCGGUAGAGCAUGCAUGUUGGGACCCGAAAGAUGGUGAACUAUGCCUGAAUAGGGCAAAGCCAGAGGAAACUCUGGUGGAGGCUCGUAGCGAUUCUGACGUGCAAAUCGAUCGUCAAAU
Molecule: ribosomal RNA, 860 nt
Filed under: Amanita submembranacea
Lineage: Eukaryota; Fungi; Basidiomycota; Agaricomycetes; Agaricales; Amanitaceae
Description: eukaryotic LSU rRNA
Rfam family: Eukaryotic large subunit ribosomal RNA
Source: RNAcentral